CCUUUCCAAGGAUCGCCACCUUGACGUGGUGGAAAGGCUUCUGUGUUCCAAUGAUCCCAAGAGCAAAUCAAUCUAGAGUUUAAAUGCUCUUUAGAUUGGCCUGCUUUGGAGUGAGGUUCCAACUAAGUGCGAU
This 133-nucleotide non-coding RNA is filed under the name unclassified sequences. The record is from RNAcentral.